Molecule: unclassified non-coding RNA, 1019 nt
Filed under: Hevea brasiliensis (rubber tree)
Lineage: Eukaryota; Viridiplantae; Streptophyta; Magnoliopsida; Malpighiales; Euphorbiaceae
Source: RNAcentral
AAAUAAAGAAACUUACCUUGGUAAAUAUUCUUUGGAUGAAGUUGAGGAAUGUCAAAAUGAAGUGAGAGAUCUAGCGGAAAACCAAAAUUUGACUCUCAAACAGGUUUCAAAUAAAGGAAAGCAGAAGGGGAAGAGGAAACCUUCUUUGUGGAGUCUACAGUAGUUUUAUGAUAAAUAUAUUCUCUGUUACUUUAUUCUCGGUUACUUUACUCCUGAUGAUUUGUAGCCCUUAACUGCCUUUAACUUGGUUCAUUGCUGAUAUGAAUUUCUAUAUAUCACAUUUUAUGUGCUGUGUUCUCUUCCUUUCUCUAUUUUUUUUCUGGGAUGUUCUUCAUUUGAGUAAUUUAAAGAAUUUGAGGCUGUAGCAUCAGUGAUAUUUCUUCAUCAGUGACUUAAAACUUUAGAGGAUGUUGAGUAAACAAUUGUUAAUAUUUUCCAUACAUGAUAAAAUCAAUAUGGUAAAUUACAAACAUUCAAAUAAGUAAAAUAGUGAAUUGUGUGAUUUUACCAUGAAAACUUGUAAAACCGUAUUGUUUUUCAUCAUUGGAAAUGCAGUUUCAACUCAGUUUUAUUUGAUUGCAAGUCUAAAUAUGUUUUCCAUUAUUUUUGUAUUUAUAACUUACAAAAUCAUACGAGUUAACUUGAGAUUUUAACAAUAAAGCACUAACACAUUCCAAAUAAAAAAAAAUUGAAGUACUUGUAAUCUAAUUAUAAUAACUUUUGAAAAUAACUAAGCUAUAUUAAGAUUCAUAAAAUAAGCCCAUAUUCUUUAAUUAGAAGAUGCAUAAGACUUCAUAAAAUUUACAAGAGUAAUCUAAAUUGUCAUAGUUAAGAAUUAAAUCAAGAUAAUUCCUGAACUUCUUUCUACUCUCCUGCAUCAUUCUAUUUGCUUAUAGACUGUCAAGUGACUCACAGCUUCCUUGUAGGUUUCACUUUGUAGUACUUAUUAUUUAAUUACUAUUGAGGUAUACGUCUGAAGGUCACAUUCUAAUGCAGUCAUUUAAAGAAUGGGUUUUGAG